UACGGGGGGGGCAAGCGUUGUUCGGAAUUACUGGGCGUAAAGGGCUCGUAGGCGGCCAACUAAGUCGGACGUGAAAUCCCCAGGCUUAACCUGGGAACUGCAUCCGAUACUGGAUGGCUUGAAUCCGGGAGAGGGAUGCAGAAUUCCAGGUGUAGCGGUGAAAUGCGUAGAGAUGUGGAGGAACACCAGUGGCGAAGGCGACUUUCUGGGCUGUAACUGACGCUGAGGCGCGAAAGCGUGGGGAGCAAACAGG
RNAcentral lists this ribosomal RNA (253 nucleotides) under uncultured bacterium. Its description in RNAcentral is "partial 16S ribosomal RNA". It matches the Rfam family "Bacterial small subunit ribosomal RNA", at positions 524 to 776 of the family's 1533-position model. The record is from RNAcentral.